CGUGAGCUGGGUUUAGAACGUCGUGAGACAGUUCGGUCCCUAUCUGCCGUGGGUGUUGAAUACUUGAGAGGAGCUGUCCCUAGUACGAGAGGACCGGGAUGGACGUACCUCUGGUGGACCUGUUGUUGCGCCAGCAGCAUAGCAGGGUAGCUAAGUACGGAAGGGAUAACCGCUGAAAGCAUCUAAGCGGGAAGCCCCCCUCAAAACCAGGUAUUCCUUGAGAGCCGUGGAAGACCACCACGUUGAUAGGCUGGAAGUGGAAGUGUGGCGACACAUGGAGCGGACCAGUACUAAUUGCUCGACAGGCUUGAUCCC
The sequence is a ribosomal RNA, 315 nucleotides long. It matches the Rfam family "Bacterial large subunit ribosomal RNA", at positions 2599 to 2925 of the family's 2925-position model. The record is from Rfam.